Molecule: unclassified non-coding RNA, 498 nt
Filed under: uncultured Glomus
Lineage: Eukaryota; Fungi; Glomeromycota; Glomeromycetes; Glomerales; Glomeraceae
Description: bacterial SSU rRNA
Rfam family: Eukaryotic small subunit ribosomal RNA
Source: RNAcentral
CCAAUAGCGUAUAUUAAAGUUGUUGCAGUUAAAAAGCUCGUAGUUGAAUUUCGGGGUUAGUAGGUUGGUCAUGCCUCUGGUAUGUACUGGUCUCACUGAUUCCUCCUUCCUGAUGAACCGUAAUGCCAUUAAUUUGGUGUUGCGGGGAAUUUGGACUGUUACUUUGAAAAAAUUAGAGUGUUUAAAGCAAGCUAACGCUUGAAUACAUUAGCAUGGAAUAAUGAAAUAGGACGUUCGAUCCUAUUUUGUUGGUUUCUAGGAUUGACGUAAUGAUUAAUAGGGAUAGUGGGGGGCAUUAGUAUUCAAUUGUCAGAGGUGAAAUUCUUGGAUUUAUUGAAGACUAACUACUGCGAAAGCAUUUGCCAAGGAUGUUUUCAUUAAUCAGUGAACGAAAGUUAGAGGUUCGAAGGCGAUCAGAUACCGCCCUAGUUCUAACCAUAAACGAUGCCAACCAGCGAUUAGCCUGAGUUCCUUAAAUGACUCGGCUAGCAGCUUCCG